CACACAUGUGUAUAUAAGCUAAAAAAAUGUGGAGUGAAAAGAACAAGUUACAAGACGUUUCAGGCACGUGAAACUCACACGUGCCAACUCCAGGACACUGAUGACUUCUAGGAAGGGUGGGUGACAAAAGGAAAGGGAUGGGAGAGGGAUGGCUUUUGGUAGGUUUACAGUGACUUGUUUGUGAACAGUGAAAGAGGGAUUGCGAGCAAAAAUGGCAAAAUGUUGACAUCUGUUAAAUCCAGGUGAUAAGUGCAUGAGUGUUUAUAAGUAUUUUUCACACUGUAGAUAUACAAAACAUUUCAUAUUUGAAAGAAAGAAAAAGACCACAGCCUCAUACUCGUGCUACUCUCAGAACUGAAGAAGUAUGUUAGCACAGCUUGUCCCUCCAGAUGACAGCAGUGACACGGACACGGAACUCCAAGGGCGAGGACAGCUCAUGAGAGGUGGCCACAAGUUUGACUGUAUUUGACUGAGCAACCUGGAUGGAGCUGACACAAGCGGCUGCAACAAGGCGAAGCAUGGGCUCUCAGAGCGAGAACGAAGCCGGGAGACAAGGCCCUUGUUUUAGAGAGUCAUGAACCCCGUGUUAGGGAGGGAAGGCGCCUGCGCAGUGAGAGGACGUCAGACUCCACACUACUCUAUAU
Mustela erminea (ermine) is the source of this 644-nucleotide long non-coding RNA. RefSeq lists it as uncharacterized. The record is from RefSeq and is a predicted model, not a curated record. NCBI's taxonomy places the organism in Eukaryota, Metazoa, Chordata, Mammalia, Carnivora, Mustelidae. The transcript has 3 exons.